GUCCUCAUAGUUCAAAGGAUAGAACAUAGGCCUCCGAAGCUUAAGAUCCAUGUUCAAUUCAUGGUGAGGGCA
Molecule: transfer RNA, 72 nt
Filed under: Candidatus Kerfeldbacteria bacterium RIFOXYA2_FULL_38_24
Lineage: Bacteria; Candidatus Kerfeldiibacteriota
Also listed under: 2 other names
Description: tRNA-Arg
Rfam family: tRNA
About the family: Transfer RNA (tRNA) molecules are approximately 80 nucleotides in length. Their secondary structure includes four short double-helical elements and three loops (D, anti-codon, and T loops).
Source: RNAcentral